RNAcentral lists this ribosomal RNA (271 nucleotides) under uncultured Staphylococcus sp. RNAcentral's name for it is "partial 16S ribosomal RNA". It matches the Rfam family "Bacterial small subunit ribosomal RNA", at positions 90 to 355 of the family's 1533-position model. Lineage: Bacteria; Bacillati; Bacillota; Bacilli; Caryophanales; Staphylococcaceae. The record is from RNAcentral.
CGUUAGCGGCGGACGGGUGAGUAACACGUGGGUAACCUAUCUAUAAGACUGGGAUAACUUCGGGAAACCGGAGCUAAUACCGGAUAAUAUUCGAACCGCAUGGUUCGAUAGUGAAAGAUGGUUUUGCUAUCACUUAUAGAUGGACCUGCGCCGUAUUAGCUAGUUGGUAAGGUAACGGCUUACCAAGGCGACGAUACGUAGCCGACCUGAGAGGGUGAUCGGCCACACUGGAACUGAGACACGGUCCAGACUCCUACGGGAGGCAGCAGCU